Molecule: ribosomal RNA, 1130 nt
Filed under: Bacillus amyloliquefaciens
Lineage: Bacteria; Bacillati; Bacillota; Bacilli; Caryophanales; Bacillaceae
Description: bacterial SSU rRNA
Rfam family: Bacterial small subunit ribosomal RNA
Source: RNAcentral
GCUAUACUGCAGUCGAGCGGAAGAUGGGAGCUUGCUCCCUGAUGUUAGCGGCGGACGGGUGAGUAACACGUGGGUAACCUGCCUGUAAGACUGGGAUAACUCCGGGAAACCGGGGCUAAUACCGGAUGGUUGUCUGAACCGCAUGGUUCAGACAUAAAAGGUGCUUCGGCUACCACUUACAGAUGGACCCGCGGCGCAUUAGCUAGUUGGUGAGGUAACGGCUCACCAAGGCGACGAUGCGUAGCCGACCUGAGAGGGUGAUCGGCCACACUGGGACUGAGACACGGCCCAGACUCCUACGGGAGGCAGCAGUAGGGAAUCUUCCGCAAUGGACGAAAGUCUGACGGAGCAACGCCGCGUGAGUGAUGAAGGUUUUCGGAUCGUAAAGCUCUGUUGUUAGGGAAGAACAAGUGCCGUUCAAAUAGGGCGGCACCUUGACGGUACCUAACCAGAAAGCCACGGCUAACUACGUGCCAGCAGCCGCGGUAAUACGUAGGUGGCAAGCGUUGUCCGGAAUUAUUGGGCGUAAAGGGCUCGCAGGCGGUUUCUUAAGUCUGAUGUGAAAGCCCCCGGCUCAACCGGGGAGGGUCAUUGGAAACUGGGGAACUUGAGUGCAGAAGAGGAGAGUGGAAUUCCACGUGUAGCGGUGAAAUGCGUAGAGAUGUGGAGGAACACCAGUGGCGAAGGCGACUCUCUGGUCUGUAACUGACGCUGAGGAGCGAAAGCGUGGGGAGCGAACAGGAUUAGAUACCCUGGUAGUCCACGCCGUAAACGAUGAGUGCUAAGUGUUAGGGGGUUUCCGCCCCUUAGUGCUGCAGCUAACGCAUUAAGCACUCCGCCUGGGGAGUACGGUCGCAAGACUGAAACUCAAAGGAAUUGACGGGGGCCCGCACAAGCGGUGGAGCAUGUGGUUUAAUUCGAAGCAACGCGAAGAACCUUACCAGGUCUUGACAUCCUCUGACAAUCCUAGAGAUAGGACGUCCCCUUCGGGGGCAGAGUGACAGGUGGUGCAUGGUUGUCGUCAGCUCCUGUCGUGAAAUGUUGGGUUAAGUCCCACGGCGACCGUUGAUCUUAAUUUGCGCAUUCAGUUGGGCACUCAAAGGUGACUUGCGGUAACCCGAGAGAAGGGG